Non-coding RNA from Parathielavia hyrcaniae, 102 nucleotides. The record is from the annotation of a GenBank genome assembly. NCBI's taxonomy places the organism in Eukaryota, Fungi, Ascomycota, Sordariomycetes, Sordariales, Chaetomiaceae.
GGCCGACUGGUGUAGUGGUUAUCACGUCUCGUUCACAUUAGUUGAAUACAAUACGGAUUAACUUCCCCGAGAAGGUGCCAGGUUCGAUCCCUGGGUCGGUCA